UGGUAUGACUGCUCGCAGAAAGACUGUUGAAGUUUGACUGACACAUAAACAUGAUCUAAAUGAGUCCUUGUAGUGGAUGUUGGCGACAGUUGGUCCACUGUAGUAGGGUAUGCAUCAAGAUGGAAUCUAUCGACUUUAAAAGAAAGGAGUAGCCCUAUGAGAUUUGAGAGACUAAGUCUGAGAGUUUGUGGCCACAGCAGUAUGAUUGAUAGAAAAGAAUUUUUAUAACGAUCAUAAUUGGACUUGAGCUGAUUGAAUCUAUCAUAUGACUGAUGUGAAAGAAGAGUGCCCU
RNAcentral lists this long non-coding RNA (292 nucleotides) under Elaeis guineensis (African oil palm). RNAcentral's name for it is "long non-coding RNA (EGUI_LNC079586)". Lineage: Eukaryota; Viridiplantae; Streptophyta; Magnoliopsida; Arecales; Arecaceae. The record is from RNAcentral.